Molecule: ribosomal RNA, 451 nt
Filed under: uncultured bacterium
Lineage: Bacteria
Description: partial 16S ribosomal RNA
Rfam family: Bacterial small subunit ribosomal RNA
Source: RNAcentral
GUGGGGAAUAUUGGACAAUGGGGGGAACCCUGAUCCAGCCAUGCCGCGUGUGUGAAGAAGGCCUUUUGGUUGUAAAGCACUUUAAGCGAGGAGGAGGCUUACCUGGUUAAUACCUGGGAUAAGUGGACGUUACUCGCAGAAUAAGCACCGGCUAACUCUGUGCCAGCAGCCGCGGUAAUACAGAGGGUGCAAGCGUUAAUCGGAUUUACUGGGCGUAAAGCGCGCGCAGGUGGCUAAUUAAGUCAAAUGUGAAAUCCCCGAGCUUAACUUGGGAAUUGCAUUCGAUACUGGUUAGCUAGAGUAUGGGAGAGGAUGGUAGAAUUCCAGGUGUAGCGGUGAAAUGCGUAGAGAUCUGGAGGAAUACCGAUGGCGAAGGCAGCCAUCUGGCCUAAUACUGACACUGAGGUGCGAAAGCAUGGGGAGCAAACAGGAUUAGAAACCCGGGUAGUCC